UAGAGUUUGAUCCUGGCUCAGGACGAACGCUGGCGGCGUGCCUAACACAUGCAAGUCGAGCGAUGAAACCCUUCGGGGUGGAUUAGCGGCGGACGGGUGAGUAACACGUGGGUAACCUGCCUCAAAGAGGGGGAUAGCCUCCCGAAAGGGAGAUUAAUACCGCAUAACAUUAUUUUUUCGCAUGAAGAGAUAAUCAAAGGAGUAAUCCGCUUUGAGAUGGACCCGCGGCGCAUUAGCUAGUUGGUGAGGUAAUGGCUCACCAAGGCAACGAUGCGUAGCCGACCUGAGAGGGUGAUCGGCCACAUUGGAACUGAGAUACGGUCCAGACUCCUACGGGAGGCAGCAGUGGGGAAUAUUGCGCAAUGGGGGAAACCCUGACGCAGCAACGCCGCGUGGGUGAAGAAGGCCUUCGGGUUGUAAAGCUCUGUCUUCUGGGACGAUAAUGACGGUACCAGAGGAGGAAGCCACGGCUAACCACGUGCCAGCAGCCGCGGUAAUA
RNAcentral lists this ribosomal RNA (499 nucleotides) under uncultured bacterium. Its description in RNAcentral is "bacterial SSU rRNA". It matches the Rfam family "Bacterial small subunit ribosomal RNA", at positions 1 to 525 of the family's 1533-position model. The record is from RNAcentral.